This 465-nucleotide ribosomal RNA is filed under the name uncultured bacterium. RNAcentral's name for it is "partial 16S ribosomal RNA". It matches the Rfam family "Bacterial small subunit ribosomal RNA", at positions 338 to 795 of the family's 1533-position model. The record is from RNAcentral.
CCUACGGGAGGCAGCAGUAGGGAAUUUUCCACAAUGGGCGAAAGCCUGAUGGAGCAACGCCGCGUGGGUGAAGAAGGUCUUCGGAUCGUAAAACCCUGUUGUUAGAGAAGAACGAGGGUGAGAGUAACUGUUCACGCUUCGACGGUAUCUAACCAGAAAGCCACGGCUAACUACGUGCUAGGAGCCGCGGUAAUACGUAGUUGGCAAGCGUUGUCCGGAUUUAUUGGGCGUAAAGGGAACGCAGGCGGGCUUUUAAGUCUGAUGUGAAAGCCUUCGGCUUAACCGGAGUAGUGCAUUGGAAACUGGGAGACUUGAGUGCAGAAGAGGAGAGUGGAACUCCAGGUGUAGCGGUGAAAUGCGUAGAUAUAUGGAAGAACACCAGUGGCGAAGGCGGCUCUCUGGUCUGUAACUGACGCUGAGGUUCGAAAGCGUGGGUAGCAAACAGGAUUAGAUACCCUUGUAGUC